Molecule: non-coding RNA, 110 nt
Filed under: Olea europaea subsp. europaea
Lineage: Eukaryota; Viridiplantae; Streptophyta; Magnoliopsida; Lamiales; Oleaceae
Source: RNAcentral
AAGAGCCGUGUGAGAUGAAAGUCUCAUGCAUGGUUUUGAAUGAGAGAAAGAAGUGAUGAAUCAUGGAAAGAAAGAAAUAAAAUUACCACAAUUUUAGGUAUUCACUUAAU